Molecule: ribosomal RNA, 342 nt
Filed under: Caenorhabditis elegans
Lineage: Eukaryota; Metazoa; Nematoda; Chromadorea; Rhabditida; Rhabditidae
Description: SSU rRNA
Rfam family: Eukaryotic small subunit ribosomal RNA
Source: RNAcentral
AUGCAUGCUUUGAUUCAUCAAUGAAAUUGCGUACGGCUCAUUAGAGCAGAUAUCACCUUAUCCGGGAUCCUCAUAUGGAUAACUGCGGAAAUACUGGAGCUAAUACAUGCAACUAUACCCCAACGCAAGGCGGGGUGCAAUUAUUAGAACAGACCAAACGUUUUCGGACGUUGUUUGUUGACUCUGAAUAAAGCAGUUUACUGUCAGUUUCGACUGACUCUAUCCGGAAAGGGUGUCUGCCCUUUCAACUAGAUGGUAGUUUAUUGGACUACCAUGGUUGUUACGGGUAACGGAGAAUAAGGGUUCGACUCCGGAGAGGGAGCCUUAGAAACGGCUACCACG